RNAcentral lists this ribosomal RNA (464 nucleotides) under uncultured bacterium. Its description in RNAcentral is "SSU rRNA". It matches the Rfam family "Bacterial small subunit ribosomal RNA", at positions 26 to 518 of the family's 1533-position model. The record is from RNAcentral.
AGGAUUAACGCUGGCGGCGUGCCUAACACAUGCAAGUCGAACGAGGUAGCAAUACCUAGUGGCAGACGGGUGAGUAACGCGUGGUCAACCUACCGUUGAGUGGGGGAUAACUAGCCGAAAGGUUAGCUAAUACCGCAUACGUGUCCGAGGGGCAUCCCUUGGCCAUAAAAGGAGCAAUCCGCUCGAUGACGGGACCGCGUCCCAUUAGCUAGAUGGUGGGGUAACGGCCUACCAUGGCACCGAUGGGUAGCUGGUUUGAGAGAGCGACCAGCCACACUGGGACUGAGAAACGGCCCAGACUCCUACGGGAGGCAGCAGUGAGGAAUUUUCCGCAAUGGGCGCAAGCCUGACGGAGCGACGCCGCGUGUGGGAAGAAGGCCUUCGGGUCGUAAACCACUGUCGAAGGGGACGAUAAUGACGGUACCCUUGGAGGAAGCCCCGGCUAACUACGCGCCAGCAGCCGC